AACGACUCUCGGCAACGGAUAUCUCGGCUCUUGCAUCGAUGAAGAACGUAGCGAAAUGCGAUACUUGGUGUGAAUUGCAGAAUCCCGUGAACCAUCGAGUUUUUGAACGCAAGUUGCGCCCGAUACCAUUAGGUUGAGGGCACGUCUGCCUGGGCGUCACACACA
Molecule: ribosomal RNA, 165 nt
Filed under: Ranunculus lyallii
Lineage: Eukaryota; Viridiplantae; Streptophyta; Magnoliopsida; Ranunculales; Ranunculaceae
Description: 5.8S ribosomal RNA
Rfam family: 5.8S ribosomal RNA
About the family: 5.8S ribosomal RNA (5.8S rRNA) is a component of the large subunit of the eukaryotic ribosome.
Source: RNAcentral